UACAGAGGGGGCAAGCGUUGUUCGGAAUUACUGGGCGUAAAGGGCGCGUAGGCGGCCUGCUAAGUUGAACGUGAAAUCCCCGGGCUCAACCCGGGAACUGCGUCCGAGACUGGCGGGCUUGAAUCCGGGAGAGGGAUGCGGAAUUCCAGGUGUAGCGGUGAAAUGCGUAGAUAUCUGGAGGAACACCGGUGGCGAAGGCGGCAUCCUGGACCGGCAUUGACGCUGAGGCGCGAAAGCCAGGGGAGCAAACGGG
Molecule: ribosomal RNA, 253 nt
Filed under: uncultured bacterium
Lineage: Bacteria
Description: partial 16S ribosomal RNA
Rfam family: Bacterial small subunit ribosomal RNA
Source: RNAcentral